GACGUAGGUCUCAAGCGUUGUUCGGAUUCAUUGGGCGUAAAGGGUGCGUAGGCGGCGCGGUAAGUCGGGUGUGAAAUCUUGGAGCUUAACUCCGAAACUGCAUUCGAUACUGCCGUGCUUGAGGACUGGAGAGGAGACUGGAAUUUACGGUGUAGCGGUGAAAUGCGUAGAUAUCGUAAGGAAGACCAGUGGCGAAGGCGGGUCUCUGGACAGUUCCUGACGCUGAGGCACGAAGGUCAGGGGAGCAAACGGG
Molecule: ribosomal RNA, 253 nt
Filed under: uncultured bacterium
Lineage: Bacteria
Description: partial 16S ribosomal RNA
Rfam family: Bacterial small subunit ribosomal RNA
Source: RNAcentral